Molecule: long non-coding RNA, 441 nt
Organism: Symphalangus syndactylus (siamang)
Lineage: Eukaryota; Metazoa; Chordata; Mammalia; Primates; Hylobatidae
Source: RefSeq, a predicted model, not a curated record
AGUGUUAGGCAGUUACUCCAGCAUUCACUUCUCCUUCCCGCUGCCUUGUGAAGAAAGUGCCUUGCUUCCUCUUUACCUUCUGCCAAAGCCAUGUUGGUUCACCACAUGUAUCGCAUCCUGAUAAUGUGAAGUGAAAAAGUAAAGCCUGGAAGCCUUUGUAAGAUGACUGUACCAGAGGAGGAAGAUAAAUAUCUCGAUGCUACGGAGGCCUGCCAUCUCUUUGAAGUAUCUGGGCAAUAUCAAGAUUUCUACUUCAGAUGAAAAAACAAAUAGUUAUUCAUGGACCCUGUUGCCUGCAAGAAAGAGGACUGGUUUUGCUCUGAGAUCUGCUUCAAUUCUUAGUAAAGGUCAAAAUUGCUACUGGUUGUCUGCUAGUCCACUGUCUUAAACACUGAGGGAAGAGUUUCCCAUGCUUACACAGAUAAGUCAGCUUUGCAAAAU